RNAcentral lists this long non-coding RNA (721 nucleotides) under Homo sapiens (human). Its description in RNAcentral is "HSALNT0178573". The record is from RNAcentral. Lineage: Eukaryota; Metazoa; Chordata; Mammalia; Primates; Hominidae.
GACCUCAAGUGAUCCGCCCCCUCGGCCUCCCAGAGUGCUAAGAUUACAGGCAUGAGUCACCACGCCUGGCUGUGCCUCUGCAAUUUAUUUGUCGAAGAGACCAGGUCAUUCAUUCUGUAGAUUUCUCACAGUCUGAAUUUUGUUGAUUGCCUUCCUGUAGUACUGUUCAGUACCCUCCUCUCUUCUCUGUUUAUGCAAAAUUGUUAGUUCACAGGAUUUAGAGUUGGAAUGACCCACCUGUUUAACCUGUUCAGCAUGCUCAUUUCAUGGAAAAGAGGGCCAGAAAGACAGUGUCUUAAUGACAGACUAGAAUCCAGAGACCUAAGUCUAAGAUUCAAACUCCUGUCAAUAUAUGAUUGCUGACAAGAUGGUAAAAGGAACACUUGCUUUUUUAGAAAAUAACAUUAAGCAUAUGAAAGUGUAUAUUUAUAUACAUAUAUUUCAUAUGCUUAUUACAAAUCAGUCUUCUUUAUUCAAUGAAACAGAUCAGGCAUGUUUCAAAGGAAUAGUCAACAUUUGAUUAACUAUAUAGUUCUUUGAUGCCCACACACACAAAACCCAAACCCUACAGAGGUUAUGAAAUAGUCUCAGGUCCAAAAUUUUAGGUAAUUUAAACAGGUAUUCUAAUAGUCUAACUUUAUUAUACUGUAUAUAUCUUUUAAAUGUCAACAAUAGUAAAAAUUCAUUUCAGGGCACUACUAUUUCUAUAUGUUUAUAAAAU